GGGUUUUCUCAAUCGGUAACACUCAAAAGAUGGCGGCACUUUUUUCACCAGAGAGCAGAAAGUGCCCCCACAGUUUGAGUGCCACAGGCUGAGGGGAUGCGGCAAGGCGGCGA
Molecule: microRNA precursor, 113 nt
Filed under: Chlorocebus sabaeus (green monkey)
Lineage: Eukaryota; Metazoa; Chordata; Mammalia; Primates; Cercopithecidae
Description: miRNA (ENSCSAG00000020053.1)
Rfam family: mir-290 microRNA precursor family (bases 16-85)
Source: RNAcentral